UUUCGAACUCUUCGUUCGCCGAACGAAGGUGUCCACUAGCCUCCUAGUACCCUAAGGAUGUAGGAACAAGUGUUACCCAAACGAAACGAGCAACGGAUUGCUCAAACAAUAAUCAUUUCGGGUUAGGGUUGAAGAAAACUCACCGAUUGCGAAGGAAGCUCUCUCGAUCUCCAAAUGGGAGUUAGAGUCCUUCCAAUCUAACCUAAACAAAGGUUCUAAACCUAUCAAAUAGGUUUCAAAGCCCUCAAAUCAAAAAUCUCCAUUUUUGACCCUAAUAUGCCAAAUCUAGGAUUUCAUCAAGCAUAAUCCAACAAAACAUGUACCAAAAGGGAAAUACAUGUUACUAACCUCUCUAGAAGCUCCAAACCAAGCUCCAAGUGCUCUAGGGUUGGAGUUCCUUCCUCUAUCAAGCUCCUAGUCCAAGCUCCAAUGGUGGAAAAGCCUCCAAUCAAGCAAAAGGAACAAAAGAGAGGUUUAAUCCACCAAAACCUAAGCUAAAAGAGGAUCAAAACCAAAUGGAGUGGUGGAGAGGGCAACCCUACCUCUUCCUCUGCUGUUCCAAGCUCAAGGAGAGGUCCAAGGGGCGUGGG
Molecule: long non-coding RNA, 590 nt
Filed under: Ananas comosus (pineapple)
Lineage: Eukaryota; Viridiplantae; Streptophyta; Magnoliopsida; Poales; Bromeliaceae
Description: long non-coding RNA (ACOM_LNC005536)
Source: RNAcentral